This 497-nucleotide ribosomal RNA is filed under the name uncultured bacterium. RNAcentral's name for it is "partial 16S ribosomal RNA". It matches the Rfam family "Bacterial small subunit ribosomal RNA", at positions 28 to 507 of the family's 1533-position model. The record is from RNAcentral.
GAUGAACGCUGGCGGCGUGCCUAAUACAUGCAAGUCGAGCGAACAGAUGAGGAGCUUGCUCCUCUGACGUUAGCGGCGGACGGGUGAGUAACACGUGGAUAACCUACCUAUAAGACUGGGAUAACUUCGGGAAACCGGAGCUAAUACCGGAUAAUAUAUUGAACCGCAUGGUUCAAUAGUGAAAGACGGUUUUGCUGUCACUUAUAGAUGGAUCCGCGCCGCAUUAGCUAGUUGGUAAGGUAACGGCUUACCAAGGCAACGAUGCGUAGCCGACCUGAGAGGGUGAUCGGCCACACUGGAACUGAGACACGGUCCAGACUCCUACGGGAGGCAGCAAUAGGGAAUCUUCCGCAAUGGGCGAAAGCCUGACGGAGCAACGCCGCGUGAGUGAUAAAGGUCUUCGGAUCGUAAAACUCUGUUAUUAGGGAAGAACAAAUGUGUAAGUAACUAUGCACGUCUUGACGGUACCUAAUCAGAAAGCCACGGCUAACUACGUG